AGUUAUAAGUACUCUCCCUCAGAGAUCUGUUCAUCUUCACCUGAAGAGCUGGAUUCAGGGUUUAGCGGUCGUCGCCCUGCUCUGACGCUUCCUCUUCCUCGCUGUGUGCUUGAAGGUGUAUUUCAGUAGCUACAACUGAAGAUGGCAACCCCAGUAAUCCGCGUCGUCAACCCCGAUGCCCCAGCAAAUCGCCAACAGGAGAAAAGGAUGCUCUUCCCCAAACCUCCACGGGAGCUACUCAACCAGGCCACUGCCCUGGUCCACGCAGAGCAGCUCCUCCAAGCAGAGGGUAUCCCCGCGCCGUCACGUCAGCUGUGCCUGGGAAAGCUAGUGGUGACAUUUGGCCAGUAUGAGAAUGCACCAUUCAGCUGGCUUAUGGCAAAUGAUGUGGUGAUGCUACAUGAAGUAAUCAGAGGUGACAAACCCACAUAGAAAGGGGGAGAUGGUGAACCAGUGGGUGAAAGACUACCUCUCAGAAUAUGCUGAGAGCUUCCCACAAGUCUCCUGUCUCCUUGAGGCCAACAUCGACAAGCGUGUCUACGGUCAGAGAGGGAUUGAGGAUCACACCUUUCAGGACAUAUGGGAAAUUUACAGCCAGUUCCAUGCCCAAAAAGAACGGCCAGAGCAAUUCACUGAUGAGCAGAGGGAGAUAAUACAGAAGGCAAACAGUUCUCUGUGGAGACCAAAUCAGCCUGAGGCAGCUGUCCAGCCCACAUCCACAACCAAGUGUCAUGCCAUGGAAUCACCUCUGAGCGACUCCCCUAUGUUUUGUAUGUGUGCUGCAGGUGGAGCUAGAGGGUUGGGUCCAUCUGUGGGAAAACCCCAACGGCAUCCCAUCUGCCGACAUUUCCUGGCUCAAAGAGGACACAGAAAGAGGACUUUAUACUUCCGUUGAAAUCUACAUGGACAACAUUUGUCUGUUCAAGAGGCCACGGGCGAUGAAAUCAGACCGCAUGUGGUUUUACCCACCAGAACCUCCCGGCUGUGUCAGGGGUGCUCUGCCAAUUCCACAGCUCUUUUUUCGGAGCCGCGUCUUUGUGUGGCGCCCUGUCGGAGUGUGGAGGUACUCUCUGAAGUGUCCUCGAGGUACGUCACAUCUGUGAUGUGUCCAGCUGGUACACGGUGCUCACUGAGGUCCUGUGCUGCGGACCAUGUACAGAGGCAGCCAGGAGCGAAGAAGGUGGCGCAAGAGUUGUGCAGAGGGAAGCUCUCUUGGAGGAGGUGGAGCCUGAAAUGUGUGUCUAAAUGCAGAGACCAUGCCUCCAGGCCCCACUGCAGUCAUGAGGAGUGUAGUGUACAGGUCCUUACGUUGAAGGUACUCCUCAACGUGAUUCCCCCGUAUCUGCCGCCACACCUUGACCACAGUAUUCCCUUCAGUUGGGUCCCUCAGAAGGCGCACAACAUUCUUAUCCACGCCACGUCUGUUGCCACUGUGCAGCACGGCCCUAUCAGGUUUACUUGAUAAGUGGCAUUGCACGGUGGAACUCGGAUGCCGUGUUUGGUGGUAAAGGACGGCACCACAGGACCUACUCAGCACCGCUGAUUGACCGCCUCAACGCCCGCUGCCGGCAGCUGUUUAAAGAGACUGUGGAGGAGAAUUUCCAGGCCCCUGAAGUUGUCCCUUCCAACGAGCUGCUCGGGUUGGAGUACCUGUUCAGCCAGAGCACAGCUGAAUCUGGAACCUUCUCUCUUAGGGACAACGAUGGACCUGGUCCAGAGGAGGAGGUGGUUCAGCCUGGGCAGCCCGAUCCGGAUCCAGAGGCAGACGAGGCGUACCUGAGUGACAUGACGAUGUUCUGGAUGCCCUCCUGCACCACAUUAUGCUCAGCAGCGAUGAAACCUCUACAGUUCACCCUCCAGCCUUAGAGGAUGCCUGCAGUCCAAACCCUCUUCCUGGCUUUCAAAAGCUGGAAAUGUUCUGCUCUGUGCUGGUGGAGAUUGGCCUGAGAGUGGACAAGGUGUCACUUACCACUGAGCAGAGGAACAAGGUCCUUGAAGUCUGGAAUGCAAUGGAGGAGCAUGACAAGCAGCCGCAGCUGUCAGAACACAAUGGGGCAAGACCCUCUACUGCCGCACAAAAAGGGAGGAUCUUGUCGAUGCUGCUGUGAUACAGAGGGUAAAAGUAGCCAUGCGCUACGCACCGGCACAACAGGCUCAGGACAACAGACUGAUGUACACACUGAUAAAGCUGCUGUGGCUUCGCUCACCUCAAGGGUCUUGCAGCGGUCCUGAGAAAAGCGCUAUCUUGAGGGCGUAUAGGCGAGUCCAGCACCGGAUUACGGUGGAGGAUCCAGUCCUGUGCAAAGCAGGCGUUCCUCUUCAAAGAAUCACCAUCAAGACUGUGCAGGACUUCAUCCGUCGCCAAGAGAGGCUCCUCAAACUGCAUGCCACAAAACAGCCGUCCACUCGCACAAAGAUCGCCUCCAUUUCAUCUGCAGACCUACCUCCAGCACCACACCAGCCAGCAGUCCUUCCUCCACCACUCUACCUCCAGAUAGGGUAUUUACAUGCACCCAGCACGGCAGGUACAAAGGUGUUAAAGGGAAGGACAGACAUAAGCAUGCCACUAACCCAGCCUCAACCACCACUGCCACCUGUGCUUCUGCCAGUGAGGGAAAUUCCUGCCGCCUCUACCAUCACCAGACCAGUGCCCUCCCUCUCUGCAUCCACAGCAAGCCCUAGGAUUGCUGGCCCUUCCACACGACCCAUAAGGCCUGCCACCUCCGCACGACCCAUAAGGCCUGCCACCUCCAAACUGUCACAGGUGCAAAAGCUCCCCGUCUGUACACUGUGUGGCCAACCAACCCAGGGACAUAAAAAAUACAAAAAAAAAGACUUUGUGCCCAAUAAAAAUGAUGUCGACAUCAAAAGGUCUGGACAAGAGAGUGUACGGUAGCUACGAACACUUCACCUUUGUUGUUGACCAGUUGGAGGAAUGAGCAAAUAUUAUGUUCUUAUAAAUCUGUUAAUGAGGUACGGUUGCAUUGUACAAAUUGUAAAUAGUUUUCAUUUUUAUUACAUUUCACUUUUAAUCAUACUCAAUGGUACAUUUUCAGUCUAAACCGCUGUGGUGUUGUUUGCAAUUGAUCCAAUAAGUCUAGAGGAAAGAUUCUUUAUUUGUAAAUUAUUGCAUCUCAUUGGACAAAUUAAUAGUCCUAAUUUUCAUGUAUAUAUUGUAAAUAGUCUUCAUUUUCGAAAAAUUUGAUUUGUAAUCUUGUUAAUUGAUAGCUUAUCUACA
This is an RNA transcript of Micropterus dolomieu (smallmouth bass), 3238 nucleotides long. RefSeq lists it as uncharacterized. The record is from RefSeq and is a predicted model, not a curated record. Lineage: Eukaryota; Metazoa; Chordata; Actinopteri; Centrarchiformes; Centrarchidae. The transcript has 7 exons.